CCCAUAUCAUCUAUCUUUUGUGUCCCGUUCAACUGCUGUCUAGUGCUGCUAAAGCCAUCGCGGAUAUGUUACCUAACUUUUUUUAUUAGUGGAAGAAUAUUCCCACUGCUCCACUGAGGCCUACAGAAAGGUGAAGGGAGAAGCGUGCUGGAUAGAAAGAACAGGAGUUGCUCAGUGUGUGUCGGCAUCCAGCCACAGGUCAGCUGGGUCCUGCUCAGCUGUCACAGCAAAGAGACUACUGUGCAGAGCUGUAGCCUCAAGGGAAGCUGACUCCCUUCUCAAGUCACUGCCAGAACCUGGAAGCAACCUAGAUGCCCCUCAACUGAAGAAUGGAUAGAGAAAAUGUGGUACAUUUAUACAAUGGAGUACUACUCAGCAGAAAAAAGCAAUGGAAUCUUGAAAUUCAC
Molecule: long non-coding RNA, 407 nt
Filed under: Cricetulus griseus (Chinese hamster)
Lineage: Eukaryota; Metazoa; Chordata; Mammalia; Rodentia; Cricetidae
Description: lncRNA (ENSCGRG00015035779.1)
Source: RNAcentral